This 433-nucleotide ribosomal RNA is filed under the name uncultured bacterium. RNAcentral's name for it is "partial 16S ribosomal RNA". It matches the Rfam family "Bacterial small subunit ribosomal RNA", at positions 29 to 507 of the family's 1533-position model. The record is from RNAcentral.
AACGAACGCUGGCGGCAUGCCUAACACAUGCAAGUCGAACGAGACCUUCGGGUCUAGUGGCGCACGGGUGCGUAACGCGUGGGAACCUGCCUUUAGGUUCGGAAUAACUCAGAGAAAUUUGAGCUAAUACCGGAUGAUGUCUUCGGACCAAAGAUUUAUCGCCUUUAGAUGGGCCCGCGUUGGAUUAGCUAGUUGGUGGGGUAAAGGCCUACCAAGGCGACGAUCCAUAGCUGGUCUGAGAGGAUGAUCAGCCACACUGGGACUGAGACACGGCCCAGACUCCUACGGGAGGCAGCAGUGGGGAAUAUUGGACAAUGGGCGAAAGCCUGAUGCAGCAAUGCCGCGUGAGUGAUGAAGGCCUUAGGGUUGUAAAGCUCUUUUACCCGAGAUGAUAAUGACAGUAUCGGGAGAAUAAGCUCCGGCUAACUCCGUG